CAAAGUGCUCACAGUGCAGGUAGUUUUGGCAGCGCUCUACUGUAGUGUGGGCACUUCCAGU
Molecule: microRNA precursor, 61 nt
Filed under: Bos taurus (domestic cattle)
Lineage: Eukaryota; Metazoa; Chordata; Mammalia; Artiodactyla; Bovidae
Description: Bta-Mir-17-P4c_pre stem-loop
Rfam family: mir-17 microRNA precursor family
About the family: This family represents the microRNA (miRNA) precursor mir-17, family, which includes mir-20, mir-91, and mir-103. miRNAs are transcribed as ~70nt precursors (modelled here) and subsequently processed by the Dicer enzyme to give a ~22nt product.
Source: RNAcentral